ACCUUUUUUUUUGGCGAGACUGCAGAUUUUCUUCGGCUGACUUGCAGGUAGCACAGAGGCAUUAAAUGAUUUACACGGAGCUACACAUCCAGUACAUGAAAGACUUGGGAUCUGAAAUCAGAGUGCUAAGCAUUCAAUAAGCCUUCACUGAGCAAAAGUGAAUUUGGAGAUCAAGACAAGAGAUGGGAACUAUCCUUGGUGCUGAAUCCUGCUUUUUAAAGGAAAUUUUGUGAAACAGUACAAAAAGUUGGUUUGAUGCUAUUUAUGCUUACUUACCUAUUCCCAAAUGAAGGAUAAUGAUGAGAUGCCCUAGUUACUGAUUUUCUCCUUACUUUAAAAUGUUGAAAA
Long non-coding RNA from Sarcophilus harrisii (Tasmanian devil), 348 nucleotides. RefSeq lists it as uncharacterized. The record is from RefSeq and is a predicted model, not a curated record. NCBI's taxonomy places the organism in Eukaryota, Metazoa, Chordata, Mammalia, Dasyuromorphia, Dasyuridae. The transcript is spliced from 3 exons.